Molecule: ribosomal RNA, 506 nt
Filed under: uncultured bacterium
Lineage: Bacteria
Description: partial 16S ribosomal RNA
Rfam family: Bacterial small subunit ribosomal RNA
Source: RNAcentral
GAUGAACGCUAGCUACAGGCUUAACACAUGCAAGUCGAGGGGUAACGAGAGGAAAGCUUGCUUUCCUUGUCGACGACCGGCGCACGGGUGAGUAACGCGUAUCCACCCUGCCCCCAACUACAGAAUAACCUUGCGAAAGUAAGACUGAUAACUUAUAAUUUCCUAAGAUGUCAUCGGACGAGGAAUAAAGAUUUAUCGAUUGUGGAGGGGGAUGCGUCUGAUUAGCUUGUUGGCGGGGUGCCGGCCCACCAAGGCAACGAUCAGUAGGGGGUCUGAGAAGAAGGUCCCCCACAGUGGAACUGAGACACGGGCCAAACUCCUACGGGAGGCAGCAGUGAGGAAUAUUGGUCAAUGGGCGGAAGCCUGAACCAGCCAAGUAGCGUGCAGGAUGACGGCCCUAUGGGUUGUAAACUGCUUUUAUACAGGAAUAAAGUUAGCCACGUGUGGUUAUUUGUAGGUACUGUAUGAAUAAGGACCGGCUAAUUCCGUGCCAGCCGCCGCCGUAA